UACAGUUCUCAUGCUUUUAUGAUUAUUUGAAAUUUCCACAUGUGCACAGUUUAAAGACCAUGAAUGCAUCAGAUGGUUUCUUAUUGGUGUCUCUCCCUGGUGAAGAGGAGUCAAAAAAAGGAGAGUCCUUGCUUGGAAAUCUACCUCCUCAAUAACAUAUUUUUUGGGGUAAUGGGAGUGUUUUUGUUUCUUCUUUCUUCCACAGAAUGCUAUAUACUUGUGGCAUAUAUUAUUUAAACAUUGAGGCACAGGUUUUGCUGCUUUUGAAAAGUUUCAUUUACAGUAUCUAAUCCUUCCUAAUAGUUGAAGUCUCCCAGUUAUUUUAUGGCUCUCUAUCAGGGAAGAUUCGGAGAUAUCUAUUGAGUCGCCCUUCUCAUGGAAAUUAUUUUAUAGAGCUUCAAGUUUGAUAUGGUUCCGAAGCUCCAUCAGUGCAUCAUAGUAUGUCAACAUGUCAUGUAGGAAGGUGUUGCGCCAAGAGCCUGACAAAAUGUGAGAAUCGGAAGAAUUUUUACUCAAGUUUGAGUGAAUUUUCUCUAGAAUCCAGUUUAUUGGCUCAAUCUUUCCACUAAAGUUUUUGAACAGAAGCGAGCAGCAAAGUAUGUGAUCUCUCAUUAGGGUACAUUCUCUACUUCUCUUUGAUGGAAAAGGGUCACCCUUUUUUCACUCUCUUCUUUUCACAUAUUCUGUAG
RNAcentral lists this long non-coding RNA (689 nucleotides) under Salvia miltiorrhiza (redroot sage). Its description in RNAcentral is "long non-coding RNA (SMIL_LNC004581)". The record is from RNAcentral. Lineage: Eukaryota; Viridiplantae; Streptophyta; Magnoliopsida; Lamiales; Lamiaceae.